Molecule: long non-coding RNA, 1119 nt
Filed under: Sus scrofa (pig)
Lineage: Eukaryota; Metazoa; Chordata; Mammalia; Artiodactyla; Suidae
Description: lncRNA (ENSSSCG00070024078.1)
Source: RNAcentral
GCGUGCCCUUUGCUCCUUGGGGGGCACGGCGCUGGGACCCAGGAGGACCCGGCUUGAGUCCUGGACAUGCGGAUUUCUAGAGUCAGGCAGGGGAGGCAUCCGGCCUCUGGAAGGCUGGGCUUCAGGUAGUGAAGGCGGUGUGUCACUGCGGUGGUAUCUGGGGAGGCGUGCCGAGCCUCUCCGUGUGCGCGUCCCCUCCAGAAAUCUCCACAUCCCCCUGCUUCUCUCUCCACCAGAGCCGCCUCUCCCUCUGCCGACUGCCUGCCUGCCUGCCUGCCUGCCUGCCUGUGCCAAGAAGCCUACCCGAAUCGAGGGAAAGAGAACGAUGCCGGGAGCGCCUUAACUUCACGCCGGGCGCAAGGGCGGAAGGGGCCGAUUGGUUGACAGCCGGCUGCCUUGCCUUAAGAAGCAGGGCGUCUGAUGUCAAGCCGCCUCUCCCUCUGCCGACUGCCUGCCUGCCUGCCUGCCUGCCUGCCUGCCUGCCUGUGCCAAGAAGCCUACCCGAAUCGAGGGAAGAGAGAACGGUGCCCGGGAGCGCCUUAACUUCACGCCGGGCGCAAGGGCGGAAGGGGGCCGAUUGGUUGACAGCCGGCUGCCUUGCCUUAAGGAGCAGGGCGUCUGAUGUCAGUGAGUGGGGCGGUUUCGUUGGGGGCGAGAGGCCUGGCCGACCUUGCGAGGGUCUUCCUCAACAUAAUAAAGGCUAUAUGUGACAAACCCACAGCUAACAUCAUUGUCAAUGGUGAAAAGCUGAAAGAAUUCCUGCUGAAAUCAGGAACAAGACAAGGAUGUCUGCUCUCUCCACUACUAUUCAACAUAGUUUUGGAAGUCCUAGCCACAGCAAUCAGAGAAGUAAAAGAGAUGAAAGGAAGAAGUAAAACUAUCACUAUUUGCAGAUGACAUGAUACUGUAUCUAGAGAAUCCUAAAGACUCUACCAGAAAAGUGCUAGAGCUCAUCCACGAAUUUGGCAAAGUCACAGGAUACAAAAUUAAUACACAGAAAUCAACUGCAUUUCUAUAUACUAACAAUGAAAGUGCAGAAAGAGAAAUUAGGGAAGCAAUCCCAUUUACCAUCACAUCCAAAAGAAUAAAAUACCUAGGAGUAAACUUACCUAAAGAGAC